Molecule: long non-coding RNA, 787 nt
Filed under: Coturnix japonica (Japanese quail)
Lineage: Eukaryota; Metazoa; Chordata; Aves; Galliformes; Phasianidae
Description: lncRNA (ENSCJPG00005014397.1)
Source: RNAcentral
UUCAGCCGGAGCCAGUCCUUACUGAAGCUCUUUGUGAAGGAGAGAGAUCGCUGAUCAAACUCCUGUUCCGUGCGGGGGAGGCCAGCGCUUCUGGACUCCAGAUGUGACUCUGAGAGCCUCUCACUGCCCCAUCUCCAGCAGUGAUUCCUCUGCGGGUCUCACCAACCCUGGGAAACGGGGCAGGAGAAGGCCAAGAGCGUGGUUCUUCUGAAGCCCUUCCAUCAGGCUGUGGAGGAGGCUGCAGGCUGAGCUGGCUGUGCCUGGGCUGCAGGGCAGUGCUGGAGCUCCUUUAACUUCCAGGCGGGGUGUUUUCCAUUUCAUCGACAUGAUCUGGAUGCCAACGAAAUGAAGACCAUUUCUGGCGAAGGAAAUGACAGAUUAAAUUAUAGCCAGUCGGCUGUUCCAAGGUUGUUUGGACCUUUUUCUCUUGUUGAAGCCAAGAUAUGUGAGGCAAAUGUAUGACAGAAUGGCUCAACCUUUCCUCAGACAAGAGAUUGCUUUGUUUUCAUCCAAGUCAAAAAGUGAUUGUAGCUUGCAUCCACUGGCCAACUUUGCCUUCUUUCAAGCACCCACUGAAACCUGUGAACAGGGACAAUACAGAGGGAGAAGUCCUGCAGCGAUUAUGACAGGCCAUGUGCCCUCCAGGACUUUCCAAGAUGCACAUUCUGCACAUCAUCUGAGUGUCCUUUGGCAGCAACAGUUGGCCCAAGCCUUGCAGCAGCAGCUGGUAUAUUUUCCAGGAGAGAAUAGGAAGAAAAAGGAGCUGCAGCCAUGCAUUUGCUUUUAA